AUUGAACGCUGGCGGCAUGCUUUACACAUGCAAGUCGAACGGUAACAGGCCUUCGGGUGCUGACGAGUGGCGCACGGGUGAGUAAUGCAUCGGAACGUACCCAGAGGUGGGGGAUAACGCAGCGAAAGCUGUGCUAAUACCGCAUGUGAUCUGAGGAUGAAAGCGGGGGACCGAGCAGCAAUGUUUGGCCUCGCGCCUUUGGAGCGGCCGAUGUCGGAUUAGCUAGUUGGUGGGGUAAAGGCCUACCAAGGCGACGAUCCGUAGCUGGUCUGAGAGGACGACCAGCCACACUGGGACUGAGACACGGCCCAGACUCCUACGGGAGGCAGCAGUGGGGAAUUUUGGACAAUGGGGGCAAGCCUGAUCCAGCAAUGCCGCGUGCGGGAAGAAGGCCUUCGGGUUGUAAACCGCUUUUGGCAGGAACGAAACGGUGUCCGCUAAUACCGGGCGCUAAUGACGGUACCUGCAGAAUAAGCACCGGCUAACUACGU
This 491-nucleotide ribosomal RNA is filed under the name uncultured bacterium. Its description in RNAcentral is "partial 16S ribosomal RNA". It matches the Rfam family "Bacterial small subunit ribosomal RNA", at positions 29 to 506 of the family's 1533-position model. The record is from RNAcentral.